CACAUGAUUUUUUUUAUACAUGAUCUGAUUGUUUCUUAAACAUGACUUUGUUUUACGUCUGAUUCAUUUAUUUUCACGUUAUUUUUUAUACGAUUCAGCUUCACAUCAUUUUUUACAGGAUUCGUUUAUUUUCGUGAAAUUUAUUUACAUGAUUCAUUCAUUUUCAUGUUUUUUUCAAACGAUUCAUUGAUUUUCUUUUUACAAGUGAUUCAUUCAUUUUUCUGUGAUUUUUUUUCUUACAAAUGAUUCAUUCAUUUUCACAAGUGAUUUUUUGUUUUACAUACCGUUCCUUUUUAUUCACGUUUUUUUAUUAAUUUAUUUUAAUAUGAUCUUACUUUACUUGCUAUGUUAGACAGACAGACAACAGACAGACAGACAGACAGAUAGAUAGAUAGAUAGAUAGAUAGAUAGACAGACAGAUAGAUAGAUAGAUAGAUAGUGUGCAUCCAACACUGCUUUUCCCCGUCAUUCCCUCGGCACGUCUGCUCCUCGCAGCGGGAGAUGGCAGAGAUUUAAUGAAAACUAUUUCCAGUGCUGGUUGAUUCAGACGGCUGGGAUCAGGGCAACCUUCAGCCUCUGUAGUUCAGGGCCAGCUGGGGAAACGAAUGAGCAUAAUUGAAGUUGUGAAGUGAAGUGUGCAUUUGAACAUUUCUGCGCUUCAUGUAGAAGGCAUAUGUGGGAGUUCUGGAGAAAUGGAGAAUGUGUUUCUUGCUUAUUUGGCACAUCUUGCUUUACUUGCUCUUGCACUGCUGUGGGGGUGGAAUGGUGGUGGAACAGCAGGUAGUGGUGGAACGAUGAUGCUGGAGCUCCGAUGACUGUCUGUCUGGCAUGUUCUCCCAUUGCCUGUGGGUACUCCGAGUUCCUCCCGCCUCCUGAAAACAAUUCGCAUCCCAUUGUGUGCAAUGCUCAGCUCAGGAUCCACUGCAACCCGGAAUGAUGAUUUUAUUCUUGUUUACUUGCAGUUCUCUCCGGUUCCUGGUCUGACGUCGAGUUUAUCCUUGUUUGCACCUGUGCCUAAUUUGUUUCGUCUGUUUUAUUGCCCUCUUAGCCUAGCUUGUAUGUAUAAACUCUUGAUUUAAAUUCUGAAGCCACAAAAAUCUUUGUAAAAAAAAAAAGUAAAAAGUAAAAUCUAUUAUACUUAAUUUUACAGAUUAAGUAUAAAAUUAUAACACCAAACCUGUUGUAAUUAAAUUAAUUUACAAUAUAAAAAGAAAUAAUUCUUAUUCAGAAUGUCUCAGAAAAGCAGAUUGUGACAGAAUUAUCAUAAUAUCGGUAUGAUAUUGUCUUAUGUUCAUGUUAAUCAAACCAGUAAAUAAUCUCAGUUAAGAGAACUUUAAUGUAAAGUGUUCCCUGAUAGAUAUCUGUUCAGAAUCCAGGACACAGAUGCACUUCUUUCUUUCCUUCUUUCAGUAAUAUUACAUAUACAGCAGUUCAGCUUGGGUGAAUAUUACGAGCUGAGAAAUUUUAGAUGAGCGAACGCUCUGAAUUCUGACAUCAGCUCACGUACAGACUACAUCCAAUUGUCUCACGCAGCUGAAGUUGUAAAGCCUUUCUAUUCCGUCUUGUCACUUUCUCUAAAUGAGGCGCCCUGCAAAGAGCGCUCGUGUUACACGGUGAAAAUGUCAUUUCCUUCAGACUCUCACAGUGGAGAGGAGAGGAACCCAGAUUUAACAGGUGAUACGAUUUAUUAAUCGACUAAAGCUGGAGCGCUGGCGUGUCCGGGCCUCAUUUAGCCAGCAGGUCAUAGGAUUAAGUGAACUGAUCUAAAGCAAAUCAUUAGUUUCCUAUUUAUUCUUUUUUUUUUUCCAAAAUCAAAUACACUAAUACAGUACGGGUUCUCUUCCUAUCUCUUAUUAAAAUUAUUAACAGGUUGAUCGGGGUGUGAGAUCAUUCAAAUGUUCUUUGGUUAUACUAAUACAUUAUCGUUUCUAUAGUAACAGCAUACACAGGGAGUUGUAUGGCAAGCAAUCCAGAUAAUCUAAGCCUAAUAAUAAACUAAAUUAUCUAAUAACAUGGCAUUAUUUAAAGAAUAGUGUCUCAUCCUUGAUAUGGUGAUGCUUUCUGUAAGGAAAUAACAUUCAUGGAAGGAGUCUCCAGUGUCAGCGCUUUGUAAAAGUAAAAAGAGAAAAUUUUUAGGAUGAAGGGAUUUCUGAUUUCUUGGUUAGAUGACAAGCUGCGCUUUUUUUUGUCUUAUUCGACAAAUGGAUAAACAUUACUAUAAAUGCAAACUCUUAAAACUUUAAUAAUUAGUGCUAGCACUUGCUAGUUUGCAUCGAGUUCUAGUAAAUAAGAUAGUAAAAUAGUAAAAUAGCUAUUAUGGCACACAUUUUUAGUAUGGUUCUAUGCAGUUUGGUCUUGGAUAAAAUCGCAUCUUGAAUCUAAUGAAUUAAUGGGUUUGAAUUUGGAUUUAUUUUUCCCCAUUAAUUUCCAUGUCAACAAAUUAUAAGACUAUAUGCACAACAACAUAUCAUCAUUUACUUACUUGCAAACACUUGGGCUUCAAAGUUUGGAAUCAUUUCCCAUUGUAAAUUGUCAGAUUUUUAAAGGUGUAAAAUUUGACAGUAAUCUUUUUUUUCGCCACAAUUACAUAGAUUAGGUUCUAAAUGUAGAGGUAGGCGGAGCAUCUUUCAGUGGAAUUGCUAUUAAUUCCUUAAAUAUGAUUUUCUCCCUUUUCACUUUUGACAAAAGUUUUUAGAAGGAUAUGUACAGGGUGACUGAAAAGUCAGGAACCAACGAAAGUACCAAGACACACCAUCCCUACCCUUUCAUCCAAAGUUAAUGCCAUUUUUCACCUGUAAGGAAAAUAACAUAUAAAAAUAAGUGUAAAUAAAUAAGUACAAAAUACAAUGAAUACAAAGUCAUGUAGUUCAACUCCCAUUGGUUCAUGACUUUCUUGGACACCGUGUAGUAUAAAAUGUCAAAAUUUUAGUAUGUGAAGUCUUUUCGCACUAGGAUAACACCUGUACCCCUACUCAUUCGUGUAAUUAUUUAAUCAGCCAAUCAUGUGGCAUCGGUGCAAUACAUCAAACCACGUACCAGAAAAGUUCAGUUGAUUGAUUUCCAGUGUUUCCACAGAGUGGUUCGAAAAGCAAAACACAUCCAGUCAGCGGCAGUUCUGCGGAUUGUUGAAGAGAGAGGUCAGGGGAGAAUGGCCAGACUGGUUCUAGCUGACAGGAAGGAUAUAGUAACUCAAAUAACCACUCUUUACAGCCGUGGUGAGCAGAAAAGCAUUUCAGAACUCACAGCAUGUUGAAAUUCUGAGGUGGAUGGGCUACACUAGCAGAAGUUUAAAGUGGCCAGUGAAAGUACAUAUGGAAUGAUGUGAAUAAUUCUUUUUUUUUUUCACGUGAUCACACAUUACUAGGUGAAAAACUUAAGAUCACACGUGAAAGGCAUGUGAUUUUUCCCUAAGGGUGGCGAAAAAAUGGCGCCCAUUUCAUUUUCGGUAGUUUAAAUGUAUUCAGUCGGUUAAAAAGCCGUUAUUCACCUCUCGUCGAGGUCAGCAGCCCGGAGUCCUGCAUAUAUCUGACUCGCACUUUGUCCACUAAGCCUUCUCCAGCACAGCUGUGUUUCAUUCUCGCGUUUAGUCCACAUGACCUGCUCUGAUCCUCAGGCUUAUAUGAGCCGAGUGAGCUUGAAGCCAUGCCUGAAAGGCGAUGGAUCUCCAAGGCUAGAAAAUAUUGCAAGCGAGAGAAAGAAAGCAGCAGGAAAGAUAGAACAAGUAACUGGCUCUAUUCCUGCUGCACUAUCACAUUAACGUGCGCAAGGAGAACACACGUGCGGCUGAAUAUUUCAUCUCACACAGUGACCCGUACACUAUUCCACAGUAAACCACGUUAAGGAGCGAAUGAAAAUGUCCACAGGUGCACAAAAAAAGUGGUAUUGUAAGCCUACGUGGACAGGAUUUGUGGUUUUCGUCUGUGCGAUGCGUCUCUCUCUCCAUUGAAAUUCCGCAUGUGUCCAGGGCAGGUUUGUCUCCUUCUCUCGGGGCGUCUGUUUGAAAUGGAAAUUGGCUUGGAUAACAGAAGUGUGCCACACACACAAACACACACACACACAAACACCGGUCCUCAAUGCCUCAUUUCAGUGAUGUCCCUGAGGCUGUGGGCUCACACCCGUUUCCAUGCAAUUUUGAAUUUGCACAUGUGGAAAUGGCAUAAAAUUCAAAAGACGCGUGAAAAUUCUGAAGAAAAAUAAAAUCAGUGAUGGGUUUGUGUUCCAGUAUCUCCAAGCAUAUGUGUGUUUAGAUUAGCCCUUUUUUGAUGAUGUCAUUUUGUUGCUCUUUCCUCUUCAUUAUAUUGUCAUAACAGUAGUUGAUGAAAAUGUAGUCAGGAAUGGACAAGUGUUUGUAUUUUCUCUUAAUUUUCAGAAAUCAAAAAUUCACCAGAUUUUUUUUUUUUUUUCUUUUUUGGAAACAUGCCUUCUCCUACAGAUUUUACUGAAAUUGUUUUAAUGUACUAUUUAUUUAUUUAUUUAUUAUUUUGAACAUGCACAAGAGUUUAUAUUUCCUCUUAAUUUUCAGACAUCAAAACAUUGACUUCUGAAAAGUGCUUUCUUAAAUUGCGUAUAUAUUACAUUUAAUAUCAAAUGUUUCUUUUCUAUUAACUUCUUCAGUUUGCAUUUUCUGUCCCUGAAUGUUUAGGACCUAAAGGCAAGUUCUGAUGUUUAAUGUGGUGGUCGAGAUGCUAGACCCUGUCACGGACACCUGUACUCAAGAAAAUUUAGCAACCUUCUAGGUGUAAACUACGUGCAGAAGCCAGUCUCUCCAGGAAAUGUCACCUUCAAGGGCAGCUCGAAUCAAACAUAUUGACAUCAGAAAACGUGACCAAGUAAAUCAUGAUUUUCCAUUCUAAAAUACUGACACUGAAAAGAAGAAGCACGUUCUUUGGAAACUACAUACUUACUUAAAGGUCAACAGAGGAUGCCAUUACCUCAGGCCUUCACUCUGCCCUGACUCAUCUGGGAAAUAGCAACUCCUGUGUGAGGAUGCUCUUCAUUGACUUUAGCUCUGCGUUUAAUACUGUCAUUUCAUCUAAGCUGAUCUCCAAACUCUCCAGUCUUGGUAUCAGCCCCCACCCUCUGCAACGGGACUCUGGACUUUUUGACCAACAGGCCCCAGUCUGUUAGAGUUGGCAUCAACUCCUCUUCCACCAUCAUCCUAAACACCGGCGUACCACAAGGCUGCGUGUUGAGUCUUCUCCUCUACUCCCUCUUCACCUCUUCACUCCACAAUCAAGUUCGCAGAUGACACUACGUUGGUUGGCCUGAUCAGAGAUGAUGACGAGACAGCCUACAGGGAAGAGGCUCAGCAUCUGGUAACAUGGUGUGCCAAUAACGACCUCGAUCUUUACACCCAGAAAACCAAAGAACUGAUUGUGGACUACUGGAAGUCCUUGAGGAACCACAAACACACCCCUAUCCUUGUUAAUGGGACUGAGGUAGAGCAGGUCUCUAGCUUCAAGUUUCUUGGUGUCCACAUCUCCGCUGACCUUUCCUGGAACCUCAACACUUCCUCAACCUCUCUUCUCAAAAAGAUGCAACCGCACCUGUAUUUUUUGAGGAGACUGAAGAAAGCUCACCUUGCUCCUCAGAUCAUGGUGAACUUCUAUCGCUCUACCACUGAGACCAUCUUUACAAAUUGCAUCACAGUAUGGUACAACGACUGCACAGUGUGUGACCAGAAGGCACUACAACAGGUAGUGAAAACUGCCCAACACAUCAUUGGAACACAGUUGCCCAACAUUUAUCAAAAACGUUGCUUGUGGAGAGCGAGAGUUAUUAUCAAGGACACCUCCCAUUCCCACCAUGGAUUGUUUGUACGUCUCCCAUCAGGAAAACGCUACAGAAGUCUGAGUUGUUGCACAAAAAGACUCAUGAACAGCUUUUUCCCUUCAGCUGUACUAAUGCUGAACUCAGCUUCUAAGCAUUAACUGCCAGGUUCCACUUAAUAACUAAACUUUAGCAUUAGACUCUACUGUUGUCUGCAAUUAUUUGCAAGUACUUGCACUUUACUGCACUAUCUGUCGUUAGUUCUAUUAUUUAUAUCUGUUGCACAUUUUUGCUAUUUGCUAUUGCUAUAAUAAGCGUUAUACAACAACAGGGUGGUGUGAUAUCGCAUGCCAUGGAUCAGAGUUACUGUUAAUUUGUGAGUACUAAUAAUUAUUAUUUAUUAAAGAAUUACACAUUAUACAUUUAUCCGUUUAAAGAUAUUUAAUGUUGUUGAACAGCCGUGAAACAAGUUGGUUCUUGUUAUCGCCUAUAUUAUAGAGGUUAUGAAUAGUCAUUCCUGGAAAGCACAAACUCCUCCAUCUUGAAGACUUUCCCAUGCUGGAAAUCUCUCUGACACUGGAGACUCCUUCUAUAAAUGUUAAAUAAACAUCUCUUGACAGAAGACUUCACCAUAUAAACAAGUACACAUUUUUGUUUUUUAAAUAACAUCACAUUUUUAAUGCGUUUAUUACUCGCCUUAGAUUACGUGGGACGUCCGCCAUGAGAGGAACAUCCUCCCAUUGUCCCUAGAACACAAUUUAACAUACAGAGUUGAGUACUCUAAUAUAUGCAAAACACUGAAACAUCAAAUCCCAGCUCAAACGUACUCCAAUUCUACUGAAAACCACACACCUGGGAACAAAGCGCGCUGACUUCCCACAGGUUUAUGCUUCUUUAUAUGCAUAUGAAUGAAAGAAGCGCACGUUGGGGAUUAUUAUGUACAUGGUGCAUAAUUUAUGUGUUUCGUUUGUUAUGUAACAUGCAGUGACUUUGAUGAAACCUGAAGCCAGGUGCCAGAAACUUAGUACAUCUAAAUCAAGUAGGUUUUCUUGACUUGUAUCAGGUUUUAAAGCAGGCACUGCAUCUAGAAACAAUUCUGUAACAUUAUCAUGUAUCCUAGAAUAGCACAUCUUAGUAUUUCCUUAUCAAGGCACGGUGUUGUAUCAGUACACCGUUCCAGUUCGAGCCAACAGCCUGAUACAACUGUGACGGUUCUGGUGGCUGCUGCUUCACGUCACUGCACAGUUUUCCUGACAGAUUGAGGUCAGCGGUUUGUGACUCAGCCACUUAAGCACAGUUUAUUUUUUUUCUCUCUUUUUAAGCACCAAAGGCCUUUACCAAAAAUCCAAGCGACACACAUUCGAUGAUGUCUUUCCUAUCCUAGUAGUAGCACACAAUUUAGGGAUUUCCAAGAGCAUUUAAUCACAGCACAUUUUGAGAGUGCUCUGACACUGAAACGUUUAAAUCCAGACUCUGGUGGCAUGUCAGGGUAUUAAAAUAGGGGGACAAACGGUGGUUCAAAGAUAGUAGUGUGCUUUUUGGUGAAUUUCUGGGUUAAAUCAAGCAAACAAAAAAAUGUGGGUGGGAAAAUGCUUGUUGCUUCUGAUGACAUGCUAGGUGGACAGAAUAUAGGGCUGUAUUCAGAGUCAAGGAAGUCCAAAAUAUGUCAUUAUUUAUGUAGAGAAAGUUCCUCGUAUUCAGAACCGGGUUAUGCACAUAGUUAAAUUAAUUCUCUGGGCUCUCCAUGCAGAUUAGUAAAAUUUCCUGCAUGUAGUUCACACCUCUGAGAUUUUUCUUUAGUACAGAUGUCCUAGACUGGGUUUUUCAAAAGCAUCUAGACCACCAUCUUUAAAUGUUUAAGCCAAAAAAACAAACAAACAAAAACAAACAAACAAAAAAAAAACAGGAGAUAGAAAAUAUGGUCAUGUUCUUUUUUCUUCUUUGCUGUAAUACAAAGAAAUAUAAAGGCAAGAAAAUUAAAAUAAAUGAAAAACAAAAAACAAAGACCAUCAAUAACAAGACGUACCAAGCAGAUAGCCAGAAAUCAUUACAUUAAUCGCUUGAACAAUAUGGCUUCCACCUUAGUAUUCAGCAGCUUAUAGAAUAGCACUUGAUCCAGUACAUCCUAUUAUUUAACAUUUUAUUUAUUUUUUUAUUUUUUAUAUCAUGCUCCACAUCGCACACACAACUUAAGAUCACAAGGGCCACAGCCAUCCCUGGCCAGUCAUCUAAAAGAAAAUAAUAAAUAGUCCAGUCUUUUUUCCCUCCACUGUCAGUUAUUCUCCUUAGAGACCAGAAUAUUGUAUAUGAUUUCUGAAAGACUAUAAAGGAACAAUAUUUAAUUUCCUGGGGAAAAAAGUGCAGUAUGAAUAAAAAAAGGUCCAAAUGAUGGAUAUAUACUAAUACUAAAUAACAAAAAAAUAAAAGCAUAUUUUCAAAUAAGGAGAAAAGGAUUCAUGAAUGCCCAGAAACUAGUGCACCUAUAUUCUCAUAAUAAUAUGAUUUUUUUCCCCUUCAGACUUCAUGAGCUUAUCUUUGUGAUUCUGUGCUGUACUUUUCUCAAAUAAUGGAUCAGUUUUUUUUUCCUUUUAGUUCUGUUUGAUUCUGUUGUGACCUUGACUCCAGAUUUGCCUCAGUGUGUUUGUAUUCUGAGCACUAAUGACUAUCACAUUUGGGGAAAUGAAUAAAAUGAUGUGACAUUUACUUCCAGCUCAUUUUGACUCCCGUUCAAAACAUCUAGGUAGUACAGCGCUAUAAGAUUGGAUGUAGUUGGAUGUAAUUGCAGUAUUUUUUUGGGCGAGCUCAUCCAUUCUUGUCACAGAAAGGCUCAAGGCUCACAAUAACGUAUUAAAAUCAAUAACAUACAUCAAAAUGAGCAAGAUCAGAUGAAAGUCUUUUAAAUUUGUUAUCGAUUGUCGCUUUAAUAAGCAAGCCACAGCUAGUAAUAUUUGUAAACAUUUAUGAAAAAUAUUCAUCACUGAUUUAUUCCAAAUGAAGCUAUAAGAAAAUAAUCAUUCACACUUGUACUCAAGUGUAAUGAAAUUUUCCAGAAUUAAUAAAAAUGUAACAUUUUAGAAGUGCCCAGGCAGAAAUCAACAGAUUUUUGUUGUUGCUCUUGUUGCUGUUGUUGUUUUUUGUGUAGUCGCUUUGCAAAAGUGUUUAAACAAGUGAAUUAAUUGAGACGUGCUGUGCGUGUCUUGCUAUAUGCUCGUGAGAAAACCUGGUUAAAAGGCGAUGCUGUGUUGCAAAGUAUUACAAGUGUUUUAAUCACCAUAGUAACAUUACAUGACCUCACUUUCCUAUGCAGGAGCUACUGCAUGUUACAGAAGCCAGACGUGUGCAUGCGUAUACCGAUCCAGUAUUCCAUUAAAAGGACUUACAUGAUAAUAAUACAUGCCAGGGUGGUGUGAUACAGCAGAGGGCUGUUAUUUAGUAUAACAGCACGGUCCAAAGUGGGUUAUUGUGCUUAUACAACAGCGAUCUACCAGCGAUUACUAUGUUUAUGUUUAAUCAGUGAAAGACACAUCAGACAUUUUAACCAUUAAUAGUUAGAUUUAAUGUUGUGGAACAUCUGCGAGGACACGUUAAUUCUUGUUACGUUAUAGCAGCCGCAAACCGUCUUUCGAGCACCUGUUCCAUUUCCUUUUCUCUCACUCCCAAAAAAAUGUAGCAUGUCAUUUUACGGAGAAAUGAGAAACUCCUAGGAAACGUUACAAAGCACUGUGACUAUUACAAAGAGCUGACACCUGGGACUCCUGCCAUAAAUGUGAAAUAAAUGUCUGCUAAGCAAAAAUGUCACCACAUCAACGGUUAUACGCUUUACUUUAAGGUUUUAAAAAAAAUACAUUGGUGAUUAGUCAUAGGUUAUGAUGAGCAUCUUCUGUACAAGUCCCUGCGUAUGAGCUGUUACUAUAGUAACAAUAGCAUGUUAGACUGAGCGCUUUUAUAUAAACCUGUCGUUCAUGUUACAGCUGGAACUAGUGUCCGAGUCGUGCUGUUAUACAAGAAUAACACACACUUUCUGACAAUCAGAUUUGUGAAUAUAUGUGAAUAUAUUUGUGAAAAUGAAGCCAUCUGCAAUUUGGAAAGAACAUAUUAAAGAAAUUUGACCCAAAUUUCACAGAGAACUCUCAUUUUUUCGGCUAAACUAACUACUAAAACGAAAAACAGCCAAACAACUAGUAUAUGUUUCCACCAGAAGAUUAUGAUUAACCCUGAUAAGAGCUCAUCAACCCAGUAUUAUUUAAUCUAUACUGGCUUACUUGCUGUUUACCGCUCUAAAUGCUUUCACUCCAGUGUAUCUUGCUGAUCUCCUGAAGCAGUAAAUUCCAUAUCGAGCACUUCACUCAGCCUUUAAUCCAGAGAAUCAUCACCAUUUCUAGCUCAGCUGGGGGGGAAUAGUGUUCAGCAGCUCUAUAUGGGUUGUUAAUUGCAGAUUAAAAGCAUGAGUAUUUAGCUUGGCCUAUUAGUUGUUUUUGGGUCUGUAACACCCAUACAUUAUUAUAUAUGAGUCAUAUUUGUUCCUUAUUUUCUUGUUUCUCGGUCCUGGUUUUCUACUUUACAAGCUACAUACAGUUAUCAGGCGCUCCGUACGUUGAAGGGUUAAGAGAAAACAGGAAGUAAACAGGAAGAGUUCAUGACAAAAGCAUGAAUAAUGGAUUUAACAAUGGGGUUCAUUGGUCAAAGUGCUGAAUUCACUGAACCCUUGGCUCACGUACAGCACCUGCAAGAAUCCUACAACAAUAGCACUUUUGCUCUGGGCGUAUUUGCAUAUAUUUGUGUAUUUUUUAUCUUUCCCCUAGGGUAUGGAGUAAACAAACUGAGCGUUCAAGCUCCAAGCCGGUGGAAUAAUCGGCUUCACGCGGGCCAUCUUAUCUCUCGGUAGGUAAAGUAAGGUAAGCUCCAGACUGCUGCUCAAGCUCCUGCUGCCGUAGUUUGUUUGGGAGCGCUAGAUGAGAUUCGGGAUGAUACACACAGAUCUACUGAGCGGCGGCAAUAACAGAAAAAGUGAAAACAGCUUUAAAAAAAAAAAGAUCAUUCCUUCUAUAAAGCUGCAAAUAAAUCUGGGGAUUUGUUCUUCAAAAUCAAAACUGCUAAUAAUCAGCGUAGAAAGUUGUUGUUUUUUUUUCUGCCAAUCUUCCAACUGCUCUUCACCUCAGCUCAUUUCAUCAGGAUAAAAUUGAGAAAACACAAACAGGACUGUGUGUAGCUGAUUUACCUCGUGGUUUCAACACAAUACAUAAUCAAGCAAAUUUCUGCUCAGUUUUAAAACAACUCCAGGUAACAAAAAGUGAACAAAUUGUUUGUUUAUUUGUUAAAGAAGACUAUUAUCAAUAUGAUGAAUAUUAAUGAGCACUAGGCAUAAGCUUUAUGAAUAUUAAUGACCGAGAGGACGCCAUACAACAGUUUAUUAACCGCCAGAGGUCUGUGCCUAUUACUGCUGGUUUUCAUACCUAGUUAUUAAACAGUUAAUAAAAACUCUUCCCAUUUUAUAUAGAUAUGCAGUUUUCUAUCGUUUCAUCAGGUUGAUGAACCUUUCUGGUAGUCUUUCUUUAAAAUAAAUGCACCUCUUAUUCCUGAUUCUCAUUUGUAUCGUAUACAAGAUAUAAGAUCUUUAAACCCUUAAUGGUACAUUGUAAGUUUCUACCAAAAGUCAAACAGUGCUCAAGAGAAGAGCUAAAUAAAGAGAAAAAUUAAUUCUUCUAAUCAUUAUAAUUAUUUUAUAACUGAGAGCGUGUUCAGGUCAUGUUGACUCGAGGGCAACAUGGUGAAAUAUAAAGUGUCAGAAAUGCCUGGUGUUAGAAAUCUGAAGGAAAUGAUUCUAUCAGGAGGGUGAAGCAUUUCGGGGGAGAGAAGGCAGUGGAUAUCCAUUACUAAGCAGUGAGCAUGAUUUUUUUUUUUUUUGGUUUUGUUUUUUACUUCUUGUGAAGCUGCAUGACCAAGCGUGAAGCCAUUAAUCCAUCCGAAAGGAACUCAAAUGUUUCUUUUCUACUUUCCCUACUGCAACAGGCCAUCAUAGUGAGUGUGAGAGCCUGCUGUGUGUGUGUGUGUGUGUGUGUGUGUGACGUACACAAUCUCGCUGUCUUGAGAUUUAGAGUUGGUACUGAAUAGGAAAGAUCACACACCCUCCCACUGUAUAUGUUUAUGUGUACCGUAAUACCUUUUUACCUCUUUCUUUCUCUCCUUUUCUUGCUUUUAUUUUCCCACUUAUCUAUCCAUGUGGUCUGGGUAGGCAGCUGGCUCUCAGCCCAGGUCACAGCGAGAGAGAUGAUGAAACUGUCAGGAAGAGAAUGAGAAACACAGAGCUGAAUGGUUAAUACACAGUAUGAUAUUAUACAGUAUACGGUAUACAAUAUAUAUAUAGUGCAGUGUCUGUUAUUGAGAGAGAAAAAAUAAUAAUAAUGCUAAUAAAUUUAAUAACUCCAGCCCUAUGUCCAGGUAGUUAGCUAAAAUAUAAAACGGAAGCCACAAAUUGGAUUAGACAGAAUACAAACACCUGCAAUUGUUAGGUGUGUGGGUUUGGUUUCGUUUGCCUCAUUAACAAAAUGCACCAGCAGGAAAACAACAGACCAGAAACCAUAAAAAUGACAUCCGGUGCUAAAGAAAUGAGCUGUGACUUCAGUUCAAGUCCAGGAUUUUUUAUAUUCUAAUUAGAUAAUAUCUUGAAAUAAUGAGUUACUAAGUCAAAAUGUUAAUAAUAAUAAUAACAGUAAUAAUAAUAAUUCACACUUUGUGGUUCAGGGCUUCCCUAAUUAUCUGAGCAUUAUGAAAUGCAUUAGUUUCUACACGUCCACACGGAUGAUGUGUCUUGGACUGAAGUUUGAAGCAAGUUGCACUUUUGAUGUUUUCACACAGAUGUUUUAUUAAAUAACAACGUUUUUAAAGCUGUUUAUUAUUCGAUUUUGCUUACGUGGCGUUUCCACCAUACACUUUCCUGUGUAUGUUGUUACUGUACAGAUGAUAACGCAUCAGUAUAAACCUGUGAUUUAUCAUGCAAUCGUAACUGCUGUCUGAGCUGCUGUUGUGAAAAUUAAAGCAACACUUUCUGACCAAUCAGAUUUGAGAAUUCAACAGCAAAAUCAAUAAAGACAAAUUCUUUGGUUAUUAUUAAAGAGUCGUCAUAUCUCAGUUGAUGAAUAUAAUCUCAGAGAGCUGUACUCCUGAAUGAUUAAAUAAAAAAGAAUUUUGCUAAUCAAUGCUUAGCAAAGCUAAAAAUAGUCCAGAAGAGCAGUAAAAACCUCUGACACCGAGGCACCGUGCGCUAAAUGUUUAUUACUUCCUAAACCCGAACUCAGACAACACUAAUUCCAACAUGGAUUAAUCAUCAUUUCAGAGAGUGGUGUUACAUAAGGGACUUGCAAAACGCUGGGCCAGAGUCCACAGGUUGGCGAGUCGGUUGUGUUAACACUGCGAGAAAGCCGUGACCCCUGGAAAGAGGGGUUUUUUUAACGUUGCUGGGGAAGACUCUGUUCCAUCUGCCUACCAUCUGUCUUUGAUCCGCAGAUCUGUGCCAGAGGGCAUGAUGCCAUGCUAAUGCUCCUCUACACCAAUUAAAAAAAAAGAUGAUGAAAUCCAGCCAUACACCUUGCAGUCGUAAGUCUCACCGCGCAGGCUGUAAAAAUAUCUUACGGGUCCAGGUAAGAACGUUUUCAGCGUUGGACCUUCUGAUCUCAGCUUGUUAAGGGCGCCAUACCUGCGAGCUGAGAGAAAUUCGACAGACGUUGUUGAAGCUCGCGUUGUAUACAAGGCAUUAUAUCAAGCAUUUUAUACAAACAAUUUUACGAUAUGGAUCAUUAAUCUUUAAAAUAUUCUUGAUCACGCCGAUUAGUUGCUGAAACGGUAGCAGUAGCAUUUCUAUGUCCGUCCACUAGGUGGCUGUUUUUUUUGUUUUUUUUUUUAUCUUAAAAAAAUUUAUACUGGGCCAAAAUAUAUGUUUGAAAUCAGUAAAUAUCAAUAACGUAUCAAAUGACAAAAACAAAUAAUUAUGAGAUUUGUGGACAGCCCAGGAAAGCAAAGUAAAAACUACAUAUGUAUAUAUAUAUAUAUAUAUAUAUAAUAUUAUAUAUACAGUACAGUACACACUACAAUACCACACACAAUAUCAGAUAUCACGAAAUAAUUAAUCCCAUGGCUGAUCACGUUUAAUUUAAGCAAAAUAAGAUCAACAAUUAUUAACCAUAGAGAACAAUUAAAAAGUACAGUUAAAAAUGUUACAGUUCCAGGACUUUUAGUAACUCAUUUAAUUUUGCAUGUUGACAUGAAAUAGAUUUUGUCUCUGUCUUUUUUUUGAAACCUGCCACCUCCACGUAUGUCUCAAUAAGAAGCAUCAUCCCUGCCCCUGAUUCACGAUUGC
Long non-coding RNA from Pangasianodon hypophthalmus (striped catfish), 14122 nucleotides. RefSeq lists it as uncharacterized. The transcript has 3 exons. Lineage: Eukaryota; Metazoa; Chordata; Actinopteri; Siluriformes; Pangasiidae. The record is from RefSeq and is a predicted model, not a curated record.